Molecule: unclassified non-coding RNA, 243 nt
Filed under: plant metagenome
Description: partial contains small subunit ribosomal RNA, internal transcribed spacer 1, and 5.8S ribosomal RNA
Rfam family: 5.8S ribosomal RNA (bases 195-243)
Source: RNAcentral
UCUCCGUUGGUGAACCAGCGGAGGGAUCAUUACCGAGUUAUCAACUCCCAAACCCCUGUGAACAUACCCAACGUUGCUUCGGCGGGACCGCCCCGGCGCCCUCGGCGUCCCGGAACCAGGCGCCCGCCGGAGGACCCAAACUCUUGUUUAAACCAUAGUGGCAUAUUCUGAGUCUCACAAGAAAAAUGAAUCAAAACUUUCAACAACGGAUCUCUUGGCUCUGGCAUCUAUGAAGAACGCAGC